Dermacentor andersoni is the source of this 948-nucleotide RNA transcript. It is a transcript of the gene named Crustacean cardioactive peptide, with no coding region annotated. NCBI's taxonomy places the organism in Eukaryota, Metazoa, Arthropoda, Arachnida, Ixodida, Ixodidae. The record is from RefSeq and is a predicted model, not a curated record.
AAAAGAGUUUGAGCCUCCCUCGCGAAGGGAAGCCGCGCACUUCGAACGAGUCCCGACUGAGCGGUCACUCCCGAAGACGUCCACGCUGCGCUCGCCGGCCCUCUCGAUCACGCGAAUUCGCGAGCUCCGGAGGCACCAGCCAGAAGGCAGCGGCGCACAAGAACAGCGCGGAGGACUCGUCUUGAGGAUCUAGGUGCGCAAGGCCGAUCAUGUCUGCAACUGGGCUGCUCCUCUUCGGCGUCCUCGUCUUUUCAGUUUGCCUGACUGCAGCACAAGAAAAUCCGGACGACGUGAGCGAAGAGCGCUUCGCCCCGGAGCAGAAGCGGCCCUUCUGCAACGCCUUCACUGGUUGCGGAGGAAAGAGGUCCCAGUUCAGGACGCGCAACCUGAUAUCCGUGCUGCGGCAGGGGAUACUGGAUGAAGCGACUAGGAGUCACCAGCGCUACCGGAGCAAAUUUCCAGAGGACGUAGGCAGCCGCAAUGCUUUGGAUGCGGGCGAUCUCCGGAGCGGUGCCAUAUUGGUGAAUCUACCCAGCCUGCUGCGGAAGCGGAGGUUCGCCAUGAAUGGCCCAUAGCUCGAAGUGGGCCACGCUCAUCACAUUCCAAGCAUCAUUAGCACAGCGCUCCCAGACGACCGAUCAAGAAACAAAAUCCGCUUGUCUCAGCAGCACUGUCCGGGAUGGCCUUGGCGUUUCCGGUGGCCGCUAGCCGCAAGAAACGCACCAGCGACACUCGCUAGUGCUUGGCGACACCGUGACACUUUGCCAGGGACGGUGCCAGCUGUCCUUGGUCAUGCCUUUGAGCAAUGCCUGCAACUUCCAUGCUCUCCAGCCAAUGAUGUAGCUGUGCAUCUUGACAGGGCUCUUACAGGCCUGCUACUGCCCACACCUCUUUUGCAACCCUGGCUAAAUGCACUCCAAUAAACACUUUCCUCAAACAUGACAACAA